GAUGAACGCUGGCGGCGUGCCUAAUACAUGCAAGUCGAGCGAACGGACGAGAAGCUUGCUUCUCUGAUGUUAGCGGCGGACGGGUGAGUAACACGUGGAUAACCUACCUAUAAGACUGGGAUAACUUCGGGAAACCGGAGCUAAUACCGGAUGAUAUUUUGAACCGCAUGGUUCAAAAGUGAAAGACGGUCUUGCUGUCACUUAUAGAUGGAUCCGCGCUGCAUUAGCUAGUUGGUAAGGUAACGGCUUACCAAGGCAACGAUGCAUAGCCGACCUGAGAGGGUGAUCGGCCACACUGGAACUGAGACACGGUCCAGACUCCUACGGGAGGCAGCAGUAGGGAAUUUUCCGCAAUGGGCGAAAGCCUGACGGAGCAACGCCGCGUGAGUGAUGAAGGUCUUCGGAUCGUAAAACUCUGUUAUUAGGGAAGAACAUAUGUGUAAGUAACUGUGCACAUCUUGACGGUACCUAAUCAGAAAGCCACGGCUAACUACGUG
Molecule: ribosomal RNA, 497 nt
Filed under: uncultured bacterium
Lineage: Bacteria
Description: partial 16S ribosomal RNA
Rfam family: Bacterial small subunit ribosomal RNA
Source: RNAcentral